This 208-nucleotide ribosomal RNA is filed under the name uncultured bacterium. RNAcentral's name for it is "partial 16S ribosomal RNA". It matches the Rfam family "Bacterial small subunit ribosomal RNA", at positions 568 to 774 of the family's 1533-position model. The record is from RNAcentral.
CACGUAGGCGGAUCAGAAAAGUCAGAGGUGAAAUCCCAGGGCUCAACCUUGGAACUGCCUUUGAAACUCCUGAUCUUGAGGUCGAGAGAGGUGAGUGGAAUUCCGAGUGUAGAGGUGAAAUUCGUAGAUAUUCGGAGGAACACCAGUGGCGAAGGCGGCUUACUGGACGGUAACUGACGUUGAGGCUCGAAAGCGUGGGGAGCAAACA